RNAcentral lists this transfer RNA (77 nucleotides) under Agrobacterium rubi. Its description in RNAcentral is "tRNA-Arg". It matches the Rfam family "tRNA". Rfam says of the family: Transfer RNA (tRNA) molecules are approximately 80 nucleotides in length. Their secondary structure includes four short double-helical elements and three loops (D, anti-codon, and T loops). The record is from RNAcentral. Lineage: Bacteria; Pseudomonadati; Pseudomonadota; Alphaproteobacteria; Hyphomicrobiales; Rhizobiaceae.
GCGUCUGUAGCUCAACUGGAUAGAGUACAGGAUUACGAAUCCUGGGGUUGGAGGUUCAAGUCCUCCCAGACGCGCCA